GUGGGGGAUAUUGCACAAUGGGGGAAACCCUGAUGCAGCAAUGCCGCGUGAGGGAAGAAGGUCUUCGGAUUGUAAACCUAAGUUGUCAGGGACGAACAAAUGACGGUACCUGAAAAGAAAGCUCCGGCUAACUACGUGCCAGCAGCCGCGGUAAUACGUAGGGAGCGAGCGUUGUCCGGAUUUACUGGGUGUAAAGGGUGCGUAGGCGGGUUUGCAAGUCAGGCGUGAAAUACCGAGGCUUAACUUCGGGGCUGCGCUUGAAACUGUAGAUCUUGAGUGAAGUAGAGGUAGGCGGAAUUCCUAGUGUAGCGGUGAAAUGCGUAGAUAUUAGGAGGAACACCAGUGGCGAAGGCGGCCUACUGGGCUUUAACUGACGCUGAGGCACGAAAGCAUGGGGAGCAAACAGGAUUAGAAACCCUAGUAGUCC
Molecule: ribosomal RNA, 427 nt
Filed under: uncultured bacterium
Lineage: Bacteria
Description: bacterial SSU rRNA
Rfam family: Bacterial small subunit ribosomal RNA
Source: RNAcentral